RNAcentral lists this ribosomal RNA (301 nucleotides) under uncultured bacterium. RNAcentral describes it as "partial 16S ribosomal RNA". It matches the Rfam family "Bacterial small subunit ribosomal RNA", at positions 509 to 807 of the family's 1533-position model. The record is from RNAcentral.
CAGCAGCCGCGGUAAUACGGAGGGUGCAAGCGUUAAUCGGAAUUACUGGGCGUAAAGCGUGCGUAGGCGGCUUCUUAAGUCGGAUGUGAAAUCCCUGAGCUUAACUUAGGAAUUGCAUUCGAUACUGGGAAGCUAGAGUAUGGGAGAGGAUGGUAGAAUUCCAGGUGUAGCGGUGAAAUGCGUAGAGAUCUGGAGGAAUACCGAUGGCGAAGGCAGCCAUCUGGCCUAAUACUGACGCUGAGGUACGAAAGCAUGGGGAGCAAACAGGAUUAGAUACCCGUGUAGUCCCUGUCUCUUAUAC